GACGAACGCUGGCGGCGCGCUUAACACAUGCAAGUCGAACGGAAAGGCCUGCUUUCCCUUGGGGGUUCCGGGUACUCAAGUGGCGAACGGGUGAGUAACACGUGCGUUAUCUGCCCCCAACUUGGCGAUAAGCCUGGGAAACUGGGUCUAAUUCCCGCUAGGACUGCAGGGUGGUGCCUGUGGUUGAAAACGAUUUUCUAGUGGUUGGGGAUGAGCUCCCGGGCUAUCAGGUUGUUGGUGGGGUAAUGGCGUACCAGGGCUGGGACGGGUAGCCGGCCUGGGAGGGUGGGCGGGCACAGUGGAACGGAGACACUGCGAAGAAGAUUACGGGAGGCAGCCGUGGGGAGGCAUGCGCGAUGGGCGGAGGACUAAGGGAGGGACGCUGAGUGGGGAAUGACGGCUGUGGGGUUGUAGACUUCUUUCGACAGCGAGCAAGCCACCUGGUUGGAGGGGGAGUGACGGUAGUGGUAGAAGAAGCACCGGCUAACUACGUG
Molecule: ribosomal RNA, 494 nt
Filed under: uncultured bacterium
Lineage: Bacteria
Description: partial 16S ribosomal RNA
Rfam family: Bacterial small subunit ribosomal RNA
Source: RNAcentral